This 454-nucleotide ribosomal RNA is filed under the name uncultured bacterium. RNAcentral's name for it is "bacterial SSU rRNA". It matches the Rfam family "Bacterial small subunit ribosomal RNA", at positions 340 to 786 of the family's 1533-position model. The record is from RNAcentral.
UACGGGAGGCAGCAGUGGGGAAUAUUGCACAAUGGGCGCAAGCCUGAUGCAGCCAUGCCGCGUGUAUGAAGAAGGCCUUCGGGUUGUAAAGUACUUUCAGUCGUGAGGAAGGUGUUAAGGUUAAUAACCUUAGCAAUUGACGUUAGCGACAGAAGAAGCACCGGCUAACUCCGUGCCAGCAGCCGCGGUAAUACGGAGGGUGCGAGCGUUAAUCGGAAUUACUGGGCGUAAAGGGCACGCAGGCGGUUAAUUAAGUUGGAUGUGAAAUCCCCGGGCUUAACCUGGGAAUGGCAUUCAAGACUGGUUAGCUAGAGUCUUGUAGAGGGGGUAGAAUUCCAUGUGUAGCGGUGAAAUGCGUAGAGAUGUGGAGGAAUACCGGUGGCGAAGGCGGCCCCUGGGACAAAGACUGACGCUCAUGUGCGAAAGCGUGGGGAGCAAACGAGGAUUAGAUACC